This 73-nucleotide transfer RNA is filed under the name Loxodonta africana (African savanna elephant). It matches the Rfam family "tRNA". From Rfam's summary of the family: Transfer RNA (tRNA) molecules are approximately 80 nucleotides in length. Lineage: Eukaryota; Metazoa; Chordata; Mammalia; Proboscidea; Elephantidae. The record is from Rfam by way of RNAcentral.
GUCUGGGUAGCUCAGUUGCUAGAGUGUUGGGCCUUUAAUCUGAGGGUCCAAGGUCCAAAUCCCUGUUCAGGCA